This 402-nucleotide long non-coding RNA is filed under the name Phoenix dactylifera (date palm). RNAcentral describes it as "long non-coding RNA (PDAC_LNC022156)". Lineage: Eukaryota; Viridiplantae; Streptophyta; Magnoliopsida; Arecales; Arecaceae. The record is from RNAcentral.
AAGUUGGAUUUCCAUCUGUAUUCAUCGGUAAAUCAUUUAUUUCUGAAAAUUUAAUUGAAAAGGAUUCCAUUUGUCUUAGUAUUGGAAAUUUACUUUGGAAUCUACUAAUGAGCUCUUAUUGGCUUGCACUUUAGUGUUUCAAUCAUGAGCCAAUUCAUUUUAAUUGAUUUUGAUGCUAUGAUCUUUAAAGGAGUAAAAGAAAGUCUUUAAGAGAGCUUUAAAAGAACUUUCAAAGUCCUGAAUUUUAUGUAUCCUACAUUGCAUAAAUUCAUAUUUUGGUAUCUAUGCCCCAAUACUUUUAUAUCAUAAAAGAACUUUGAAGUCAUUAAGAAUUAAGGAUUCAACAUAAUCUUAUGUUUUUCGAGUAUAUAAGUUUUGAUCCUUAUCUGCUCUUAUACUAUA